UAAUAAACAAGGGUACAGAUGGUAUU
This 26-nucleotide non-coding RNA is filed under the name Rattus norvegicus (Norway rat). The record is from RNAcentral. Lineage: Eukaryota; Metazoa; Chordata; Mammalia; Rodentia; Muridae.